Vidua macroura (Pin-tailed whydah) is the source of this 777-nucleotide long non-coding RNA. RefSeq lists it as uncharacterized. The transcript has 3 exons. The record is from RefSeq and is a predicted model, not a curated record. NCBI's taxonomy places the organism in Eukaryota, Metazoa, Chordata, Aves, Passeriformes, Viduidae.
CGGGGCCAUCGGGGCCAUCGGCGAGGCUUCCUCGUCGCCCGUGGACACCAAAGAGGUCCAGGAGCUGCCCGAGGGGCUGUUCGUCCCUGGGAUCGGGAAGCUCCUUGGAGUCCCCUAAUAAAUCUGGACUGAGACCCCCUAACAGAAGUCGACUCCUUCUUCUGUUACCGCCGUUCAAGUCUUGCCUACGGCUACGGGCCGGACCCAAAGCCGCCCUCCUAAUCUCCCGGGGAACUGGAAGGUGGCCCUCGCUGCUUGCUGUGUCUAGGCAAGCCGGGCAAACGCUGAGCAAUCGGUGGGGAAGACACCGCAGCACGGGAGGACGAACCUCUGCAGCGUGGAACGCGCUCACGGAAUGAGUAAGAUACGCAAGAAAUUCUUCACAUACAGAUAACAGCAACAAGACACCAAAAAUUGCAAGAGAAAAAUUAUUGCCUCUGUAUCGGGACUGUUCAGACUUCUUCCAGACUUCUAGGAGCCAAGAAAUUGACUUACAAGAUGAAGGAGAGGGGCAGAAGUUAAGCAGAGCACAUCUUUGUUUGAAAAGAAUGUUUGAAUCAUGUAUGAGGUGUAUGAAUAUGCAACAGGCUAUUGCUUUUAAGGGUUAAUCCUUUGCUAGCAAGGUGUGUUUUGGGGCAUAGCAAAGCACCCAGACGUCCAUAAUUCUUUGCUUUUUAUUGUCCUAACUUUGAUUGUCCAAAUUGUUAUUGCUCGAAUUUUUAUUACUAUUUUUAUAACUAUUUUAUUGCUAUUAAACGUUUAAAAUUUUAAAAACAG